This is an RNA transcript of Drosophila simulans, 2575 nucleotides long. It is a transcript of the gene named vacuolar protein sorting-associated protein 41 homolog, with no coding region annotated. The record is from RefSeq and is a predicted model, not a curated record. NCBI's taxonomy places the organism in Eukaryota, Metazoa, Arthropoda, Insecta, Diptera, Drosophilidae. The transcript is spliced from 4 exons.
CUCUGCCCUUUCUAAAGCGUUCAAAGAACUAUGACAUUCAGGAGGCGUUGGUCAUAUGCAAACAGGAAAACUUUUAUCCAGAAAUAGUCUACCUGCUAUGGUUGUAUGGGUAGAAGCGGCCGAAGCACUAAAUAUCAUUAUUCACCGCAUCAGAGACAUAGAAAUGGCCAUCGAGUUUUGCAAGGAGCACGAUGACAACGAUCUUUGGAAUGCACUUAUUAAUGAAUUUAGCAAUCAUCCUGAAAUCGUGACGAAAGUUUUGGACGGUAUAGUUGGUAACAUACUUUUCAAUGGUAACAUGUUCUAUUAUUCUUCUUUUUUUUUGUUUGCAUUAGACUACUUUAGCCCAGCGGUGGUUGUUGGAAAGAUAAAAAUGGGACAGAACAUUCCAAACCUACGACAAUCACUUAUUAAAAUGCUGUGGCACUACAAUCUUCAAGGUGAAAUUUUAUCCUCUGCCCAACAAAUUCAACUUAGUGACUAUUUUGAAAUUCACUCGGAGAUAGUCACCACGCAAAGACGAGGUCAGCAGGUUUCCAACGAACAAAUGUGCUCAUUGUGCCACCGUCCAGUACUGAUGGUAGGCACACACUUUAAUUGUAUAACCAGCUUUGAAUGUGGUCAUGUAUACCAUAAACCGUGCAUACAAGGUAAAUUGCAGAAAAAUUGCAAAGAGUGUAACCUUUGGAACUUAACCGUGGAGAAAUAGGUUCAUAUCGACAUCAUAACUAUUAUCCCGGCGUCCUGUUAGGGGAAUUAAGGAUAAUUAAACUUUAUAGCUUAAUUUCCUACGCCCAUUGUUUUCAAACGUAUAUUUCCCAAAUGAGUUAAACAAUUUCUUUCAAAUUUCAUAUCCUUGUAACUAUUAAAUUCCAUAACUAUUGAUGUUCAACACUUUUUCACUAAUAAGCUUAGUUUCAGCUAUUUUUUUUUUUGUUAACUUCAUUUUCAUUUUAAGAUGCGAAUAGGAGAAGUAAAUAAUAUAGUAAAGCAAGCGAGCGAGGGAGGUGUGCUAAACAAAAGAACAAAAAACCUUGAAUUUCUUUUUGGCGCAUUUUGGUGGCUAUAUCAUUAAGUGUAAUCGUUACUUGGUGUAUGUGUUUUGCGUUUUGUGGACGUGGAAAGGCGUGGACGUGGAUUCGGAACCAUUCCUUCUACCUGAUACAUCUUUUACAUCUAGACGUGAAUGGUUUGAUGAACCAGCUUUUACUGUUAUAGCAUCUACAGUUAUAGCAUAGUAUACUAAAGUAUACUAGAGUAUUUCCGACCAUAUAAAGUAUAUAUAUCUUGAUCAGGAUCAAUAGCCAAGUCGAACUGGCAAUAUCGGUCUGUCCGUAUGUUGAUAUUAACAAUCCAGAGCAUAGAAGCAAUUUUGUUUCCACGCCUGUAAACCGCCACGCCAACAGUGUUUUGAGAUUUUUUUAUAUUUUUAGUAGUCUUGUAAAUUUUUCUCAUUAUAUUCUUCAAUAUCUAUCGAUAUGCCAUAAAUAUUAUUAGCUGAGUAACGUGCAUCUGAUAGUCGAGGAACUCGACUAUAGUGUUAGGAGUCUUAAAUCAGGCAAUCAGUCAGUGAGCCGCGGUAUGAUUUCGGUCACUUUAAGUGACGGAGCCGAGCAAGGAGGCAAACCCACGACGAGGACGCAGAAGAGUGCGAGGACUCAACUUGGUCAGAAGGGACAGUGGAGACUUUGGUUAGCAAAGGUCUCUUUCGAGCCGGCAGAUGAUCCGUUGUUAGAGACGACAAGGGCCUGUCGUGGUCAGAAGAGACAGUAGAGUCAUUGGUCGGCAAAUGCGACAUAACGGACGAUACACCUGCACCACCAUAACAUCCUUAGUCCCUUUCGAGCCGGCACGGGGCCGCUGUCAAGGACGUCGCGUGACAACAAAGGAGGGACGACGAAGGAGUAACGCCGCGCAGCAGACGGCGAGGACUGUAGGAAUCCAUUAUCGAGUGGUAUCUUAAUAAAGCUAAUUUAAUCUAAAAUCCUGUAUUCUUCUUGGUCAAACAAAACAUACAUUUUGUGGGACGAACAAUCUCUCUGAGCUAGCCGUUGCAAUUCGUAGUCUGCAGAAUAUAUAAAAACAGUUCGUUACAAUAGCAAUUUCUCUUGUUUUUGACUAUGGAUUAUAAAAUAAUGUGCUGGUUAUGUAAAACCCAACGACCACGAAAAAAAACACAUAUCCAACUUUUAUCUUUUGGUUUCGGAAUAUUACUUCUCGAUCAAAUCCUAGGUUUUUUUAGCUGUUAAGUAGCCUGCAAAGUGGUUAUAUCAACAAAAAACAUCUUACUUAUUGCAUAAGUUCCAUCUUAUUAAUGAGGGCUACGUGGCGGCAUGAGUUGGGCCCUUGAUUUAGAUGACUUUCGUGGACUUUGCGGUUGCGGCAAGCACCCAUUACUUAGGACUCUUAAUCAGGAGCUGCUAGGCAUUUCUGGACAAAAAGCUAAGGACUGCACUUAAUAAGUUUUGCACAAAAGCUUGACUACAGGUCACAGAUUACAGAUCUAUUUUAAUUUAUUUUGUAAAACCUCAUAUUUGCCAAAUAAACUAGCGUCAAAGUUUUGAAACAUUUUAAA